Gracilinanus agilis (Agile Gracile Mouse Opossum) is the source of this 2218-nucleotide long non-coding RNA. RefSeq lists it as uncharacterized. The transcript is spliced from 3 exons. Lineage: Eukaryota; Metazoa; Chordata; Mammalia; Didelphimorphia; Didelphidae. The record is from RefSeq and is a predicted model, not a curated record.
AAUUUAAUCACUUCAACAAAAACAAUAAAUUCUGUUCAUUUUAGUUUUCAUUUUUAGUAGUGGUCGGUAGGGUAAGGGAAGACUAGGUAGAAUCUAUCACCACAGAAUCUCAUUCACUAAGUAAAGUCACCUCUACAAAUAUUCUUGACAAGUGGUCCUCCAGCUUGAAUACUUAAUACUUCGGGUGAUGGAGGGUUUACUAGUACAAAAGAUGGCUCCUUCCAACUCUGGACAGUUCUAGCUUUAAGCUCUGCUUAAAAGUGCUGAAAAUCCAAAAGCCCCAAAAGCAGUGUGUUUUUUUUCUCAUUACUCUAGAGAAGUGUCUCCAAAGUUAGACACACAAGACAUGUCAUAAAGAUGAGAGGAACCAACCAGUUAGAAGAUGGGCCACAUCUCGCCCUCCAAGCUAGCCAAAGAUGAGAUCCAGGUCACACCAGGUGAGUAGGAGACUGAGGCACCCAGGGAUUAUGCCAAGGUUGUCUGAGCUACAUUUGAGUUCCUUCCCUGGAGGGUUUCAGUUAUAACAAGUCAUGAAGAUAUUAAAGAUGUAUUCAAAAGAUGAGCAAAGAGUUCAUGGACCAGAUUUACAGAUAUAUUUCUAAUAUUUCACAUGAUUGAUUUCUGAAUCCUUAAAUUGGAUGAGACUUAAAUUUUGUGGAACUUAAAAAUUAAACCUCUACUAUUAUCUGCAGUCUGAAAAGUCCUUUGUAAUGUCAGUGUUUCUGGAGGAAGGUUUGAUCAAAGUCAAGAAGCAACUUCAAAAGAGCGUCUUUCCUGGGCACCCUAUUGUACAAUUAUGUUGCUAUCCGAUCUAUCUUAUAAUUGGUUGUCAAUAUUACAGUUAUGCUUCUGUUGUUUUACUUGUUUGAUUGACAUCCCGCAAACCCCCAAUCCUUGAAACCUAUAAUAAAAAAGUCCAGGGUGGUCAGGGAGCUCUCGGAUUCUCUGAGUGCUGACCUGCUGACACAACACUAAAGUUCUUUCUCUGUGUUCCUUGUCUCUUUGCUCCUUCUAUGUAUCAUUCUCUCUAGUCCUUAAUCUUUACCCAUUGCUUUCCCAGUCUUAGCUCCUCUCUACAGGGGAUUAAACCCAUGAAAGAAUUUAAUGUAGGGGCUGGGACUCUAUAUCUCCAUUCUUGCUGGUAUGUUAUCUUCCCCCUUAAUACUAUCCCCUAAAGGCAGGGACUGGUUUUUUGCCCUUUUUUGAAUCCUUAAGACUUAGACUAGUGUUUGGUACAUAGUAAGUACUUAUUGAACGUCUGCUUAGGAUACCUUUAAAAUCUUUUUUUUUUUUUUUUUUUUUUUUUGUAUUUAUAAAAGGAGAGAAGCUUGAGGACUCAUCAGCUUCCAGAGGACAUAGGAUUCUCAUAGAUUUAGAGGUAGCCAGUAUCUCAAGCAGGAUCUAAUCCAAAUCCCUCAUUUUACCAAGAUUGCUCAAUAGCAAUAGGGCAGUUGGGGAAAGGGAAGGUUUAGUGAGAAACAGAAUGGGUUCUGUGUAGAAUCUGUUGAGUUUGAGGUGUCUGUGGGACAUCCAGUUCAAGACGUCUGCUAGGCAGCCAGAGAUAAAAGUGAGAAAAGUUAGGAGAGGGGUCAGGGCUGGACAAACAGAUUGGAGAAUCAUCUGUAUAUAGAUGAUCACUGAGCCAAUGGGAGCUGAUGAGAUCAUUAAGAGAUAGAAUAAAGGAGAAGAGAAAGGGCACAGGAUGGAGACUUGGUUAGUGGACAUGAUCUGAAGGAAGAUUGAACAGAAAAGACUAAGGAUAGGUCAGACAUGUGGUAAGAAAACCAGGAAUGCAGCACCAUGAGAACUUAGGAAGGAGAGUGAAGACUAUAGAGAGGCUGGCUGUUUGGAGGGUCAAGCAAGUACAGAGAAGGGGUAAGUGGCCAGACUUUCAAAAUGAGGGUCUGCCUUGGCCUGACAGAUUGGUAAAUGGUGGGCCAUCAAACAGUUGGCUUUUUUGCUGUAAUGAAAAAAGCCACCUGCUUUACUGGAGUCUCAGAGAGACAAAAUGUAAAGUGAGGCUGGCUAGAGUCCUGUCUGCAUGCAGGGACAUCUUGAAAACCCUGCUAGCCCUUCAUACUCAGUAUAUCUCACUAAAAAUAUCUCUGAUUUUGUCAUUUGAGUGGCACAUCUAAGAUUUCUUAGGACAGAUUUAAAGCUCCUCGGAGCCUCAGAGGUCUUCUAGUCCAACCCCCUUAUUUUACUGAGGAGGAAACUG